CAAAAGGCCGGUAGGAGCAUGUGGUUUAAUUCGAAGCAACGCGAAGAACCUUACCAGGUCUUGACAUCCUCUGACAACCCUAGAGAUAGGGCUUUCCCCUUCGGGGGACAGAGUGACAGGUGGUGCAUGGUUGUCGUCAGCUCGUGUCGUGAGAUGUUGGGUUAAGUCCCGCAACGAGCGCAACCCUUGAUCUUAGUUGCCAGCAUUCAGUUGGGCACUCUAAGGUGACUGCCGGUGACAAACCGGAGGAAGGUGGGGAUGACGUCAAAUCAUCAUGCCCCUUAUGACCUGGGCUACACACGUGCUACAAUGGAUGGUACAAAGGGCUGCAAACCUGCGAAGGUAAGCGAAUCCCAUAAAGCCAUUCUCAGUUCGGAUUGCAGGCUGCAACUCGCCUGCAUGAAGCCGGAAUCGCUAGUAAUCGCGGAUCAGCAUGCCGCGGUGAAUACGUUCCCGGGCCUUGUACAACCCCCCCGGUAA
Molecule: ribosomal RNA, 480 nt
Filed under: Peribacillus frigoritolerans
Lineage: Bacteria; Bacillati; Bacillota; Bacilli; Caryophanales; Bacillaceae
Description: bacterial SSU rRNA
Rfam family: Bacterial small subunit ribosomal RNA
Source: RNAcentral